UCAGAAACAACUUACUGCCUUGGGAUCAGUUUUCUUGCUAUAGUUUGAGACUUAUUGGUGGUUAUAAUUAGUUUUUUAGUCAUUUAGAACUAUUGGUCAAUUUUAAUAUUUUUAUUUCCUGUUUAUUCCUGUGAAAGAGAUAAACAUGGGUAAAAAAGGCCUCCAAAAGAGUUUUGCCUCUUCAAGACUCUCAAGAAAGGACAAGCCAUGAACAGAGACAGAUAAACAGGAGGCCCUCCCUUUCCUCAGAGGACAGUGGAGAAAAGACAGAACUGAAUAAAACAAUGGAUAUCAUCUUCAGGAAUAUCAAGAACGAGGGUUGUUUUCAAAAGCCUGAUACAAGGGGGAAAGACAAUAAUUUUCCCUUUUGUCUGUACACAUUAACCUUCUGAAAGUGCUUUUCUAAACUGUGAAUUUAUUACUCCUUUAAAAGCUUUCUGUUUUCAUUCCAAGACUGCAAAAGGGCAGGGGCCCAGGUGGAAGACGGAGCACUAAAAAAGCAGAGCUAAAAUACAAUUUUCCCUGCAACUUUACCUGCAUACCAAAUUGUCAGAGGUUACCAUCCCCCAGACGGCAAAGAAGAUUUUCCUGCAGUUGAGAGAAAAGGCCGUUUUCUUCAUUCUAACACCCCCCGUUUUGCUCCCUAUAUAAAAAGCCCAGUGUUAACAUACAUGUUAUGACAACAAGCGGAGUUAUUAAUGUAACUUCUCCUUUGACCUUUAGAAUAAUGAGAAGGAAGAAGAUAAAAGGAAAUUCUCCAUUACUUUCUGUAAACUUAUUUACGGGUUAAUUGUCAGAUAAUUUUUAUGAGUACAUUUUGGUACCUCCACAAUGACUUAAAUAUACAAGUGUGGCAAAUGUAUGCCUCUGCAUGUACACUUGUUAAGAAGCUGUAAUUAGCCAUGUAUCACCUUAUAAUAUAUGAAAUUAAGCUGCAAAGAAAGCCUAUGGCAUUGAAAUUGGACUGUAACACUGAUUAGUGCUUGAAAUGUAGUUAACAGAGCAAAAUAAAAAGUGCAUUUUCACAAUUCA
RNAcentral lists this long non-coding RNA (1032 nucleotides) under Pogona vitticeps (central bearded dragon). RNAcentral describes it as "lncRNA (ENSPVIG00000008269.1)". The record is from RNAcentral. Lineage: Eukaryota; Metazoa; Chordata; Lepidosauria; Squamata; Agamidae.